UAAAAGGGUGCUUGCCUUUCUACGCUUUUGUAUGGCACAUCUGUGCGGCGCCUGGUCUGGUUGAGUCCAGCCGGGCAAUCCGUACCGGUGGGGUAUGGCUAUCAAGACAUAUCCAGCACGUAAUUUUUGUCCCCGGAAGGCUGUUGACUCGCAUCUUUGCGUCGACGCCUUC
RNAcentral lists this small nuclear RNA (172 nucleotides) under Anopheles epiroticus. RNAcentral's name for it is "U11 spliceosomal RNA". It matches the Rfam family "U11 spliceosomal RNA". Lineage: Eukaryota; Metazoa; Arthropoda; Insecta; Diptera; Culicidae. The record is from RNAcentral.